This 272-nucleotide ribosomal RNA is filed under the name uncultured bacterium. RNAcentral describes it as "partial 16S ribosomal RNA". It matches the Rfam family "Bacterial small subunit ribosomal RNA", at positions 524 to 794 of the family's 1533-position model. The record is from RNAcentral.
UACGGAGGGUGCGAGCGUUAAUCGGAAUUACUGGGCGUAAAGGGUGAGUAGGUGGUUUGAUAAGUUAUCUGUAAAAUCCCUGGGCUUAACCUAGGCAGGUCAGAUAAGACUGUUAGACUUGAGUAUUGGAGAGGGUAGUGGAAUUUCCGGUGUAGCGGUGAAAUGCGUAGAGAUCGGAAGGAACACCAGUGGCGAAGGCGGCUACCUGGCCAAAUACUGACACUGAGUCACGAAAGCGUGGGGAGCAAACAGGAUUAGAUACCCCGUGUAGU